Molecule: long non-coding RNA, 6167 nt
Filed under: Populus trichocarpa (black cottonwood)
Lineage: Eukaryota; Viridiplantae; Streptophyta; Magnoliopsida; Malpighiales; Salicaceae
Description: long non-coding RNA (PTRI_LNC003777)
Source: RNAcentral
CUUUAAGAAUAUGUACUGAUAUAACACUGCUAUUCGCAGUGAGAUGCGAUUCUUCAGGAAUGCUUCCUUAGAGAAAUCAAAUGCCGUCAGAUGUAUGCUUUGUCCUCUCUGCAGUAUGUUCAUCAGAUGUCAAAUCGAUAACAGGUUUUUGGACUCCUCUCAAAAAGUUCUCAGCUUCUGAAGUGAACUUGUCAUACCUUCCCUUUAACCAUUCUUUACGCACUUCUGAUGAAUGUCAUUAGAAGGUAAUCACAGUGUCUCCUGUGAAGCAGAUGAACAAUAAGUAGUUGACCAGGAGCUGUACUAUAUCGGAUUUUUUACGACUUCAAGGAGCUCAAUUUACAAGCACCAAUUCUUCUUCUUUCAUCUCUCAGAAUGAUCUAAAAUGCAAAAACCUCUUCAAUUAAAAUCUCUUUAUCCUAUUAAUAUGACCUUUUUUGGCAAUUUGUUUAUCUGAAGAAUAUUUAUCUGUUGAAAAACAAUUAUCAAAAUCAUAAGAGCAAAUUUCUUUUUUAAAAAAAUGUUUUCAUUAUUAUGAAGGGUAGGUUUUUAAAAAUUAUAAAAAUGAUACACUGGAAAUUCUAUACUGAAUCAUAUAAAAAAGUGAUUAAAAAUUUUAAAAAACAUAAAUUUUAUUUUAACCAUGAUACUUUUUUUCUACAUUAUGCACAUAAUAAUUGAAAAAUAAAUGUUAGAUAAAAGCUUAUAAUAUUAUUUGAGAACUAUGAGUAAAUUGAAUAAUAACUAAAAUAUAAUGUUAAAAAAAAUUUAAUGCAUUUAAAAAUAUUACAAGAAAAAAAUACAAAAGAUGAGGUCCAAUCGCAGACAGCUGGCCAAGCCGAAAGAAAGCCAGCCCUAAGUGCCUGGCCUUCCCUCUUUUUCUAUUUAUAAUGGCCUUCAUUUAAAAAAUAAAUAAAUAAUAGAUGACGCGUCGUCUACUAUUCUAGAUUUUAGUUACUGGAAAGGUUGUCAAAAAAUCUAGACUAGGGUUUUUUUGGAUUGAAAACACUUUUUUUAAAAGCUUAUUUUCAUUGAAAACAACUAAAAAACACUCUUAGCAUCUUAAUAAACCAAUUUCCCGACCUAAAACACCUUUAAAUUAAUCCAAAAGCAUAAAAUCAAAUCGAAAAAAAUUCUCUCAACCUUGAUCCACCUUUUCUGACGAGAUGAAGAUUUAAAAAUACCUCAAUGAAACCUAUUGAGACCAAGACCAAACUUUUUUUUUAUAGGAAAUGUGGUCAACGAUAACUUCUUCUCUCUUUCUCUGUUAUCCGAAGACUUUCUCUCUCCCCUCUCACAUAGAAGAACCGAAAACAAGCAAAAUAAAUUUUUGGACCCAAACUAAAAUUUCAAAAACUACAGGGACUAUAAAGAAGAAAAACAAAAUUAAGUGGACUAAAGAAUAUAUUUUUCUCAUGAAUUUAAGAUUGGUUAUGAAGUUUCUCCUUGUUUUUCACUUUGAUUGAAAGUUUUAAUUCCUUAACAAUUUUUUUUUUAAAAAAAGGUAAAUAAUCUAAUCAUAGAUAGCUGCAAUUGGAAAAAAAAACUUGAGAACGAAAUUGAAAGAAAAAAAAGUUUGUAGUAUGGUAGAUAAUUACAAUGACUUACCUAGCUAUUUUAGUAUAUCAGUAAUUGUAAUUGUAAUGUAGUUAUAAUGUAAUGUAAUUGAAAUAAUUUGAAAUGUAAUAAGUGUAAUUGUAAUGUUUGGAGAUCUUCUUCAUGUGUAACAUCAUGUUCUUCAAUUCCUUGUUCUGCAUCUUUGAUUUUUGCCUGCUUGGAUAAACUAAUAAAUUGGUGAAAAGGCACUUGCUUUGGGGAGUUGACAGCCCAUUGUUGUUUAUCUCAUUAAUUUCUUUUUAUGUUGUUGUUUUUAUGAUCAGUACCGAGAUGAUCAUCAAAUUGGCAAGGAGAUGGCAGAAACUAGCUGCUACCAGGAGAAAAAACAAGCACUCUGACACAACCCAUUGGGAGAACAGAUACAAGCAGUUGUCCCACAUCAUCAACAGCUGAGAAGGGUCAUUUUGUGGUGUAUUCUGCUGAUCAGAAACGACUUUUGCCUCCUUAGGAAUAACUGCACAGCAAAAUUCCCAGAAAGCUACUCAAAUUGGCAGAAGAAGAGUCUGGUUUGUCUGGCGAUGGACCUCUCACAUUGCCAUGUGAUGCAGCACUAUUAGACUACGUAAAUGCUUUGAAUAAACGGCAUGUUACCGGAGAGGCAGAGAAAGCAUUGUUGAUGCCCAUAGCCAGCAAUUGCUGCUCAUGUUCUUCGGAUCACUAUCAUCAAGUCACAGACCAUAAAAUGCCACUUUAUAGCUCUGCAGGGUAAACUACACUUGUGAAUUAGUCACCCAAGUUUAGUUGACAGACCUUGUUGUAACCCUAAAACAUUAUUAUACAUACAAUUGCUUUGACAAAUGAUGAAAAUUUAGACAAACAGUCAAUUGUAGUUAUGGAAUACAAAAUUAUAGGGAUUUUGCAUCAGUAAUCCUUGACAUGUUUCUCCUUGGGGAAUUAAAAGAGAACAGUCUAAAUCCUUUGAUUCAAGAGUUUAUGUUACCGUUCCAUGGUUCUUGCUAAUCAGAGAGAAGCAGCUGCAUCAAGUGAUGCUGAGUAAUGAAAUGUGAGCUACAAUUAAAUAAUGGGAUAUAAAUGAACACGAAUUAAGGUAAUCAGGCAGCAGCAGCGGCAAUAAACUGUGAACUACAAUUGCAUCCAUUUCAGAACAAGAAUGGGAGAUAAAUCAUGAAUCAAAAUCAUGUAUACAAUCUCAAUGCUCUUGAUUUAAUGUGGGAAGCAUGUACCAGAAUUAAACACUCUUGAGGAGUUCUUUUGGUAUAAAAAAUACAACAAUAGAUCUUAAUUUAUACGAAUAAAAUGUGUCCUCCCAAAUUCAACCCUUGCCUGGUAACAAUUUCAUUGCCUUAAUCUCCAGUUCCGUUGGCGCAUGUGCAAAAAGUUCAAUCUUCAUCUUUCUUCUCAGAUGAACUUGGAUUUUGUGAAUAUUUCUGCCACCUCUGCUUGUUCUUCUCAGAUUUACUUGCAUUUUGAGAAAAUUCUGUGAGCCCCUGUCUUAGUGCUCCAAGAUUGACCCCAUCACCAACCAGAAUGCUAGUUACUCCCAUUUUUGAAACCUGUCACCAAGAAAUCUUUUAAAUGGGAUAGAUGACUCUACAGGAAAAUUGGUGGUUCAUUACGAAAAAAAAUACAAGAUUUAAAGAUCCAACUCAUAAAAUUAGAAGACAGGGGAAGCAAGAAAGUUUUGUUUUUACCGAUUGAAUGUUCCUAUCCUCAUCAUCAAAAAAAAGCAUGGAGUUAAAGGGUAUCCCAGUCCUCGUAUGAAUCCUCUGGAAAUGAUCUGUCUUGUGAGUCCAACUGGCAAAUAUUUCCUGAAAAGUCAGAAAAAAUCACUCACCAUGUAAGCCAAACAAAGGAGUAGUUCCUCUUGAUGAUAGAUGAAUAUAAUUUCAUAUGGGGAACAUGAAGUGCAUACAAAAGCAACAUGGAAAACAAAACAUUCCCCGAGACAACAGUGAGCAGAAAAUAGAACUCCGAGCUAGCAGAAAGAUAGAACAUUCCAAUCUUUUUGGCACAAACGGGUAACUCCUAAUUCCUCAUUUCUCAUCAAAGGCAAGCACCGGCCACUUAUACUAAGCAGAAGUGACCCAGAAAUACAGAUUGUGUAAAAGAAUCAUCAGAAACACAAUAGACUUAAGAGUUUCUUACCUAUUUGAUAUGAUGAAACUCAGAGGCUCAUCACUCAAAUCAAGUUACUAGGCACUAAAUAAGUCCUCAACAUCAUGAGCUAUUCCAAGAAACAAUUCAGUAUGCAACACUUUACAAACCCUGUGAGUUAGAUGCUACAUCUUUCUCCUUCCCUUUUAGGACUAUGUUCGACUAAACUAUGACCCAGCUACUCAUGUUCUUGAGUAAAAAACACAAUUGGUUGACCCUGUUACUCAUUGCACAGUAAAGAUUUAAAAAGAAAAAAAAAAGAUUCUUAGUUCUUGAAGACUCACCUGUGCUACAAACAUUGGCUUGAGACUUAGUUUGUCAAUAAAUGUCUUUGCAAUAUCUGAGGUUGAUGAUCUAGAAGCAAUGGCCAUGUCAAUCCCCUUUUCCUUGAGUGCAUAUAAUAUGCCUUUAGCUUGGGGAAACAAGGAUGGCAUUUCACGCUUUGAGCGACAAUCGCUGAAUAACAACCAUAAUUGAAUCAAAAUUUAGACCAUGGAGAACCAAAAAAACAUCAACACAAGGAGAAAAUAAAAAGAAACCAUUCUAAUGUUUAAAUAAUCAAGGACUACAAAGAUAGUACUUUUUUUUUUAUUAAACUAAAAUGCAAGGUUCUAAAGACCAAAUAGAGCAACUGCUGAAACAUUAAAACAAAACCAAAUUCUCAUAAAAAUUACAAACAUUUUUUCCAACAUACUAGUAAGUCCAUUUCAGCUCUCCAGUAAUUCAGAUUUUAAUUUAAAAAUUCGUUCAUGAUACUAACAAUCUUAAUAAAUAACACAAUCAUAAAAUACCAAGUUACAAUUUUUACCAAGAAAGUUUCCCAGUAACACAAAAACAGAACAAAGCAUGAGAAGCCCACAUGAAAAUAACAACAUUAAACAAGAAAACAUGACAAAAAGAACAUAAUAUUUGACAUAACUUUAUGUUAACAUGCAUGUGGCUGUAAAGAAAGAAAGGUACCAAUAGAAAGGCCAGAGAGUGUAAUCUAGAUCGAAGACGACCAAUCUAGGCAGCACUUGAAACAUUCCAAUAAUUUGCAAAGCAUCGUUUUUCACCGUCUCGUCUCCCAUCUUUCUGCUUGCUUUUGCCUUUCCAAAAGAAUUUGUGAGAAUUUUAAGCGUUUGGUAUUUGUUCGACGAAGAAAACAUUGUUUACUCUUUGUUUUUUCAAUCCUUUGAAGGGACGAAGCUAGUACAUUAAAAGUCAAAGGGUGUUGCUAAAGACUAAGUUAGAGAGGGAAACUUGAGCAAACCAUUAAUAUUAUGUUAUGUUGCUAAAGACUAAGUCCAAAACACAUACAUUUCAAAAAAAAAUUAACAAUCAACUUUGAUCAAAAGACUUAGGUUAUGAUUUUAUAAAAUCACUAAAAUCAACGGUGUGACACAUGUUACGUAGAGAGGGGAACUUAAGCAAACCAUUAAUUAUCCCUUGUUAUGUUGCUAAAGACUAAGUCCAAAACACAUACAUUUAAAAAAGAAUUAAGAGUCAACUUUGGUUAAAAGACAUAGGCUAUGGUUUUACAAAAUCAAUAAAAUCAAAGGGUCCAAAUUAUAAUUUACACAAGAGUAUACCCAAGACUCUCUCUAUCAGAUCAUGAGCAGAUGCAUCCCUCAAGGUAGUGCAAAUUUUACUUCAUCAGAAAGAAGAUGAACCCAGCCAGGAUGUGAAGCUGAGAUGAACACAGAUCAGGGAGCUCUCUCUAAGACAGCCAUUGGAUCUUGCUUUAACUGUUAAUUACCUUAGCAAGGCUUGAUGGUGGAAAGCUCAAGAUGGGAGGAAAGGAAAGGGCUUUUUCUAAUACCUCCCCAUUUAUAUCUACUCAAGUUAUCAUUAAAAAAAGUAAAUUGAUGCUGCAGAAAUGCAUUAAGUUCAAACCAUAUGGCAUUGAUCAUUGCUUAUAGAGAGGGCCUUUUCAGCAUCCCGGAAAAGUCAACCAUUGCACAAGCGCUCUCUUUCUUUCAAUAAUCUUGUUUGUUCUAUUUACCUCCCUUGAGGGCUUCAAAAUAUGUGCUCUUCUGUACGUAGCACCAAACUCUGUGGAAUCAAGGUUAAUGUGCCACAGAAAAGCCCACUCCCCGCCAUUCUCUUCUUUUCUCUACCUCUUUCUAUAAUAUUUACAACCCUCAAGACCCUUCAAAGUUCUGUCCAUUUCCUUACUUGCGAGCCCUUUAAGAAUAUGUACUGAUAUAACACUGCUAUUCGCAGUGAGAUGCGAUUCUUCAGGAAUGCUUCCUUAGAGAAAUCAAAUGCCGUCAGAUGUAUGCUUUGUCCUCUCUGCAGUAUGUUCAUCAGAUGUCAAAUCGAUAACAGGUUUUUGGACUCCUCUCAAAAAGUUUUCAGCAGUGUUCAUCGCGUCAACUGAUGCGCCAAGUUUAUUGCAAUUGCCAGUGUUAUGAAAGGAUGAUGGCGAAUCAUUAGUCACAUGGUCAUUGUGC